This 253-nucleotide ribosomal RNA is filed under the name uncultured bacterium. RNAcentral's name for it is "partial 16S ribosomal RNA". It matches the Rfam family "Bacterial small subunit ribosomal RNA", at positions 524 to 776 of the family's 1533-position model. The record is from RNAcentral.
GACGAACCGUGCGAACGUUGUUCGGAAUCACUGGGCUUAAAGAGCUCGUAGGUGGUUUGUCGCGUUGUCCGUGAAAACUCACAACUCAAUUGUGGGCGUGCGGGCGAUACGGGCAGACUGGAGUACUGCAGGGGAGACUGGAAUUCCUGGUGUAGCGGUGGAAUGCGCAGAUAUCAGGAGGAACACCGGUGGCGAAGGCGGGUCUCUGGGCAGUAACUGACGCUGAGGAGCGAAAGCGUGGGGAGCGAACAGG